Molecule: transfer RNA, 75 nt
Filed under: Motiliproteus sediminis
Lineage: Bacteria; Pseudomonadati; Pseudomonadota; Gammaproteobacteria; Oceanospirillales; Oceanospirillaceae
Also listed under: 24 other names
Rfam family: tRNA
About the family: Transfer RNA (tRNA) molecules are approximately 80 nucleotides in length. Their secondary structure includes four short double-helical elements and three loops (D, anti-codon, and T loops). Further hydrogen bonds mediate the characteristic L-shaped molecular structure. tRNAs have two regions of fundamental functional importance: the anti-codon, which is responsible for specific mRNA codon recognition, and the 3' end, to which the tRNAs corresponding amino acid is attached (by aminoacyl-tRNA synthetases). tRNAs cope with the degeneracy of the genetic code in two manners: having more than one tRNA (with a specific anti-codon) for a particular amino acid; and 'wobble' base-pairing, i.e. permitting non-standard base-pairing at the 3rd anti-codon position.
Source: RNAcentral
UGGGGUAUCGCCAAGCGGUAAGGCAACGGGUUUUGAUCCCGUCAUGCGGAGGUUCGAAUCCUCCUACCCCAGCCA